UACGUAGGUGGCAAGCGUUGUCCGGAUUUAUUGGGUUUAAAGGGUGCGUAGGCGGCCCUGUAAGUCAGUGCUGAAAUAUCCCGGCUUAACCGGGAGGGUGGCAUUGAUACUGCAGGGCUUGAGUGAAGUCGAGGUAGGCGGAAUUGACGGUGUAGCGGUGAAAUGCUUAGAUAUCGUCAAGAACACCGAUAGUGAAGACAGCUUACUAGGCUUAUACUGACGCUGAGGCACGAAAGUGUGGAGAUCAAACAGG
This 253-nucleotide ribosomal RNA is filed under the name uncultured bacterium. RNAcentral describes it as "partial 16S ribosomal RNA". It matches the Rfam family "Bacterial small subunit ribosomal RNA", at positions 524 to 776 of the family's 1533-position model. The record is from RNAcentral.